Molecule: ribosomal RNA, 468 nt
Filed under: uncultured bacterium
Lineage: Bacteria
Description: partial 16S ribosomal RNA
Rfam family: Bacterial small subunit ribosomal RNA
Source: RNAcentral
GACGAACGCUGGCGGCGUGCUUAACACAUGCAAGUCGAACGGAAAGGCCCUGCUUUUGUGGGGUGCUCGAGUGGCGAAGGGGUGAGUAACACGGGAGUAACCUGCGCUUGACUUUGGGAUAACUUCAGGAAACUGGGGCUAAUACAGGAUAGGAGCUCCUGCUGCAUGGUGGGGGUUGGAAAGUUUGGGAGGGUGGGGAUGGAUUCGGGGGUUAAUAGCUUGUUGGUGGGGUAGUGGCUUACCAAGGCUUUGACGGGUAGCCGGCCUGGGAGGGUGACCGGGCACAUUGGGACUGAGGUACGGCCCAGUGUCCAACGGGAGGCAGCAGUGGGGAAUAUUGCACAAUGGGCGGAAGCCUGAUGCAGCAACGCCGCGUGCGGGAUGACGGCCUUCGGGUUGUAAACCGCUUUCGCCUGUGACGAAGCGUGAGUGACGGUAAUGGGUAAAGAAGCACCGGCUAACUACGUG